Molecule: ribosomal RNA, 253 nt
Filed under: uncultured bacterium
Lineage: Bacteria
Description: partial 16S ribosomal RNA
Rfam family: Bacterial small subunit ribosomal RNA
Source: RNAcentral
UACGAAGGGGGCUAGCGUUGUUCGGAAUUACUGGGCGUAAAGCGCACGUAGGCGGACUAUUGAGUCAGGGGUGAAAUCCCUGGGCUCAACCCAGGAACUGCGUCCGAUACUGGAAGGCUUGAAUCCGGGAGAGGGAUGCGGAAUUCCAGGUGUAGCGGUGAAAUGCGUAGAUAUCUGGAGGAACACCGGUGGCGAAGGCGGCAUCCUGGACCGGUAUUGACGCUGAGGCGCGAAAGCCAGGGGAGCAAACGGG